This 301-nucleotide ribosomal RNA is filed under the name uncultured bacterium. RNAcentral's name for it is "partial 16S ribosomal RNA". It matches the Rfam family "Bacterial small subunit ribosomal RNA", at positions 509 to 807 of the family's 1533-position model. The record is from RNAcentral.
CAGUCGCCGCGGUAAUACGGAGGGGGCUAGCGUUGUUCGGAUUUACUGGGCGUAAAGCGCACGUAGGCGGAUCGAUCAGUCAGGGGUGAAAUCCCAGAGCUCAACUCUGGAACUGCCUUUGAUACUGUCGAUCUGGAGUAUGGAAGAGGUGAGUGGAAUUCCGAGUGUAGAGGUGAAAUUCGUAGAUAUUCGGAGGAACACCAGCGGCGAAGGCGGCUCACUGGUCCAUUACUGACGCUGAGGUGCGAAAGCGUGGGGAGCAAACAGGAUUAGAUACCCCAGUAGUCCCUGUCUCUUAUAC